RNAcentral lists this ribosomal RNA (406 nucleotides) under uncultured bacterium. Its description in RNAcentral is "partial 16S ribosomal RNA". It matches the Rfam family "Bacterial small subunit ribosomal RNA", at positions 30 to 526 of the family's 1533-position model. The record is from RNAcentral.
AUUGAACGCUGGCGGCAGGCCUAACACAUGCAAGUCGAACGAGGGGCGGACGGGUGAGUAAUGUCUGGGAAACUGCCUGAUGGCUGGGGAUAACUACUGGAAACGGUAGCUAAUACCGCAUACCAUCGGAUGUGCCCAGAUGGGAUUAGCUAGUAGGUGGGGUAACGGCUCCCCUCGGCGACGAUCCCUAGCUGGGUUGAGAGGAUGACCAGCACCACUGGAACUGAGACACGGUCCAGACUCCUACGGGAGGCAGCAGGUGGGAAUAGUGCACAACGGGCGAAAGCCUGAUGCAGCCAUGCCGCGUGUAUGAAGAAGGCCUUCGGGUUGUAAAGUACUUUCAGCGGGGAGGCGUAACCAGAAGAAGAAGCACCGGCUAACUCCGUGCCAGCAGCCGCGGUAAUAC